GGGAAACAGAUUGAUGCUUUGAAAUUAAAUUAGGCAAGCUGUUAAUGAAGACUAAUUGCUUUGCAUAAUUUGAAAUAUGUAGAGGGUUCCGUUGAUCUGUGCAAGCUAUACUUGUAUUAGCAUCAGGGCUGAAGAAAGACUUCUCCAAACCGUUUUCCAUCCUCCUUAUGCAUCCUUCCAAAAUCCUUUCAAUAACUCAGAAAGUUAGAGCAACCCAGGAAUAUAUGUCAUUGCUCUUUCACUCAGCUCUGUUAUAUAUCUUAGCUGCACUUUCAUAUUUUGCUCACAAAGGAACAAACUGCACUCUCCACUCAGUGCAACAUUCUCAUUUCACUGACAGAUCCCCUUCUGAUGCCUUGCUGGAGAAAAUCUUGUUACACCAUGAGAGCCAAGAGUCAGAGUUUUCCCUGAGCCACGCUCUUCCUGAAAUGUAAAAUCAGAGUGAACUGUCUGAAGUUAAUACUACAAGUACACAAACAUCCAAAUUGCCUAAUCUUACCUGAAUCUGAACUAACACUUCCAUUGUCACCUUUGGGUUAUCUCACUUGAGACAGAUCUAAUUGUUGUAAGUAUCUCCAUGCAUACUCAGCUACUUUUGUGUUUAGAGGUCAGUUUAGAGUGUACAGCACAAUUUACUUUAAAUUUUGAGCAUAGGUGGUUCAUUAAGGGAUGUUCUGUGUAGUUAUGAGUAACCACAGGUACCUAUUAUUCUAUACUCAAAUGCAUAUUAGUAUAGACACAUAACUGUGUUUGGUUGUUGUUUUUUUUUUUUAACCAGUAUUUCAUAAAAGGAUGUAUCAUAUUAUAUUAAAAUGAUUGACAAUACAAAUG
This 831-nucleotide long non-coding RNA is filed under the name Meleagris gallopavo (turkey). RNAcentral describes it as "lncRNA (ENSMGAG00000022383.1)". Lineage: Eukaryota; Metazoa; Chordata; Aves; Galliformes; Phasianidae. The record is from RNAcentral.